This 430-nucleotide ribosomal RNA is filed under the name uncultured eukaryote. RNAcentral describes it as "partial 18S ribosomal RNA". It matches the Rfam family "Eukaryotic small subunit ribosomal RNA", at positions 592 to 976 of the family's 1831-position model. The record is from RNAcentral.
CAGUAGCGUAUUUUAUCUUUGCUGCCAUUAAAAAGCUCGUAGUUGGAUUUCUGGUGUGUGGCAAGGGGGGGCUCUCCCCUCUUGCUUGGUGCGCCCGGUCCGCCCCCUGGCUCUUCGUGGCCUCGGGGGGUGAGUUACCUUGUGGCAGCGCCCACCAUCCCUUCCUGUGGUUGGUGCCCUUGUGGGGCCCCGGCGACGGGAUCGUUUACUGUGAACAAAUUAGAGUGUUCCAAGCAGGCGUGCUUGCUGUGAAUAGUUUAGCAUGGAAUGAUGACAUAGGACUUCGUACCUAUUUUGUUGGUUUCUAGGCGUGAAGUAAUGAUUGAUAGGGACAGUUGGGGGUGCUAGUAUUUACCGGCUAGAGGUGAAAUUCUUGGAUUCGGUAAAGACUAACUAAUGCGAAAGCAUUCACCAAGGAUGUCUUCUUUGA